UAAUUCGACUAUGUGCGGUAUACUUCCCAUUGAAUGGAAAAAAAAACUGCAUAUUAAAAUAUACCAUAUAUUCAGUGCUCUGGGUGCUAUAAGGCAUCCUUAAUUAUUUAACUACGUGGUCAAAAAUCAGCAACGGGUGCACUUGAUCUGGACGCGAACAAUCGGCGGCUAUAUGACAGUAAGGAAGGACGUGCCGCGAGGGCUUUCAAAUUCAAAUACGCUUAAGUAGCCGACAUCAUGCCAUUAAAAAGAUUCGAGCACAUUAGACGCAACAUUCAUUUUGUGGACAACACCUAUCCGGAUGAGGACCGGUAUUACAAGAUACAUCCGUUCAUUGAAAAAAUAAGAAGAAACUGCCUUUCGACAAAAGAAGAAAUGAAGUAUAGUAUAGAAGAAAUAGCCAUACCAUACAAGAGCACUAAAGCAGAAAACCGGAGGCAGAAUAAUCUUAUGAAACCCAAUAAAUGGGGAUUCAAGAACUUGUUAACAUAGAUGUACCGGAAGUUGACACUUUUCGGUAAAUCUAUUUUAGGGAGGAGGAACAGCAGAUGACACUGGGUGCAAAAAUGGUAUUAGCCCUUUGUAAAACAAUUCAGAUUCCAGGAUGUUCUGUAUAUUUCGAUAAUUUUUUCUUGACGGCCGACUUGAUCUGGUAUAUACGUGAUCACCGAGGAAUAUUCAGUCUCGGAACCAUAUGACAAAAUAGACUGAAAGGUUGCAUCAAUGGCCUGUUAAGUGACAAGUAACUAAAGAAAAGAGGCAGAGGUUCGUUUAGCCAAGUCGUAGACAACGACAAAAGGAUAGCAGCUGUCAAAUGGUACGAUAAUAAAGUUCUAACAUUGGCUUAUGUAGAAUCUUACCCAGUUCAUGAAAUCAAGAGAU
Long non-coding RNA from Bombyx mori (domestic silkworm), 882 nucleotides. RefSeq lists it as uncharacterized. NCBI's taxonomy places the organism in Eukaryota, Metazoa, Arthropoda, Insecta, Lepidoptera, Bombycidae. The transcript is spliced from 2 exons. The record is from RefSeq and is a predicted model, not a curated record.